Molecule: ribosomal RNA, 406 nt
Filed under: uncultured bacterium
Lineage: Bacteria
Description: partial 16S ribosomal RNA
Rfam family: Bacterial small subunit ribosomal RNA
Source: RNAcentral
AUUGAACGCUGGCGGCAGGCCUAACACAUGAAAGUCGAACGAGUGGCGGACGGGUGAGUAAUGUCUGGGAAACUGCCUGAUGGCGGGGGAUAACUACUGGAAACGGUAGCUAAUACCGCAUCCCAUCGGAUGUGCCCAGAGGGGAUUAGCUAGUAGGUGGGGUAAAGGCUCACCAAGGCGACGAUCCCUAGCCGGUCUGAGAGGAUGACCGGCCACACUGGAACUGAGACACGGUCCAGACUCCUACGGGAGGCAGCAGUGGGGAAUAUUGCGCAAUGGGCGCAAGCCUGAUGCAGCCAUGCCGCGUGUAUGAAGAAGGCCUUCGGAUUGUAAAGUUCUUUCAGCAGGGAGGCGUUACCCGAAGAAGAAGCACCGGCUAACUCCGUGCCAGCAGCCGCGGUAAUUC